Non-coding RNA from Nephila pilipes (giant wood spider), 72 nucleotides. The record is from the annotation of a GenBank genome assembly. NCBI's taxonomy places the organism in Eukaryota, Metazoa, Arthropoda, Arachnida, Araneae, Nephilidae.
UUAAUCUUAGUUGGUCAAAGUGUCUGUCUUGUAAACAGAAGAUCAGGAGUUCGAAUCUCGUCUUUACCUGAA